RNAcentral lists this ribosomal RNA (650 nucleotides) under Bacillus sp. (in: firmicutes). Its description in RNAcentral is "bacterial SSU rRNA". It matches the Rfam family "Bacterial small subunit ribosomal RNA", at positions 55 to 686 of the family's 1533-position model. Lineage: Bacteria; Bacillati; Bacillota; Bacilli; Caryophanales; Bacillaceae. The record is from RNAcentral.
AUGCAAGUCGAGCGAACUGAUUAGAAGCUUGCUUCUAUGACGUUAGCGGCGGACGGGUGAGUAACACGUGGGCAACCUGCCUGUAAGACUGGGAUAACUUCGGGAAACCGAAGCUAAUACCGGAUAGUAUCUUCUCCUUCAUGGUAGAUGAUUGAAAGAUGGUUUCGGCUAUCACUUACAGAUGGACCCGCGGUGCAUUAGCUAGUUGGUGAGGUAACGGCUCACCAAGGCAACGAUGCAUAGCCGACCUGAGAGGGUGAUCGGCCACACUGGGACUGAGACACGGCCCAGACUCCUACGGGAGGCAGCAGUAGGGAAUCUUCCGCAAUGGACGAAAGUCUGACGGAGCAACGCCGCGUGAGUGAUGAAGGCUUUCGGGUCGUAAAACUCUGUUGUUAGGGAAGAACAAGUACAAGAGUAACUGCUUGUACCUUGACGGUACCUAACCAGAAAGCCACGGCUAACUACGUGCCAGCAGCCGCGGUAAUACGUAGGUGGCAAGCGUUAUCCGGAAUUAUUGGGCGUAAAGCGCGCGCAGGCGGUUUCUUAAGUCUGAUGUGAAAGCCCACGGCUCAACCGUGGAGGGUCAUUGGAAACUGGGGAACUUGAGUGCAGAAGAGAAAAGCGGAAUUCCACGUGUAGCGGUGAAA